This 261-nucleotide ribosomal RNA is filed under the name uncultured bacterium. Its description in RNAcentral is "partial 16S ribosomal RNA". It matches the Rfam family "Bacterial small subunit ribosomal RNA", at positions 98 to 353 of the family's 1533-position model. The record is from RNAcentral.
CGGGACGGGUGGAGUAACGCGUGGGUAACCGUGCCUUGUACUGGGGACGAACAGUUAGAAAUAGACUGCUAAUACCGCAUAAGCGCACAGUAUCGCAUGAUACAGUGUGAAAAACUACCGGUGGUACAAGAUGGACCCGCGUCUGAUUAGCUAGUUGGCAAGGUAACGGCUUACCAAGGCGACGAUCAGUAGCCGACCUGAGAGGGUGACCGGCCACAUUGGGACUGAGACACGGCCCAAACUCCUACGGGAGGCAGCAUG